CUCCCGGGCCUUGUACACACCGCCCGUCACACCACGAAAGGUCGGCGUAAUACCGAAGCCGGUGGCCUAACCGUAAGGGAGGGAGCCGUCGAAGGUAGGGUCGAUGAUUGGGGUG
RNAcentral lists this ribosomal RNA (115 nucleotides) under uncultured bacterium. RNAcentral's name for it is "partial 16S ribosomal RNA". It matches the Rfam family "Bacterial small subunit ribosomal RNA", at positions 1371 to 1482 of the family's 1533-position model. The record is from RNAcentral.